CGCUUCUUUCCUCCCGAGUGCUUGCACUCAAUUGGAAAGAGGAGUGGCGGACGGGUGAGUAACACGUGGGUAACCUACCCAUCAGAGGGGGAUAACACUUGGAAACAGGUGCUAAUACCGCAUAACAGUUUAUGCCGCAUGGCAUAAGAGUGAAAGGCGCUUUCGGGUGUCGCUGAUGGAUGGACCCGCGGUGCAUUAGCUAGUUGGUGAGGUAACGGCUCACCAAGGCCACGAUGCAUAGCCGACCUGAGAGGGUGAUCGGCCACACUGGGACUGAGACACGGCCCAGACUCCUACGGGAGGCAGCAGUAGGGAAUCUUCGGCAAUGGACGAAAGUCUGACCGAGCAACGCCGCGUGAGUGAAGAAGGUUUUCGGAUCGUAAAACUCUGUUGUUAGAGAAGAACAAGGACGUUAGUAACUGAACGUCCCCUGACGGUAUCUAACCAGAAAGCCACGGCUAACUACGUGCCAGCAGCCGCGGUAAUACGUAGGUGGCAAGCGUUGUCCGGAUUUAUUGGGCGUAAAGCGAGCGCAGGCGGUUUCUUAAGUCUGAUGUGAAAGCCCCCGGCUCAACCGGGGAGGGUCAUUGGAAACUGGGAGACUUGAGUGCAGAAGAGGAGAGUGGAAUUCCAUGUGUAGCGGUGAAAUGCGUAGAUAUAUGGAGGAACACCAGUGGCGAAGGCGGCUCUCUGGUCUGUAACUGACGCUGAGGCUCGAAAGCGUGGGGAGCAAACAGGAUUAGAUACCCUGUUAGUCCACGCCGUAAACGAUGAGUGCUAAGUGUUGGAAGGGUUUCCGCCCUUCAG
This 807-nucleotide ribosomal RNA is filed under the name Enterococcus faecalis. RNAcentral describes it as "bacterial SSU rRNA". It matches the Rfam family "Bacterial small subunit ribosomal RNA", at positions 67 to 843 of the family's 1533-position model. The record is from RNAcentral. Lineage: Bacteria; Bacillati; Bacillota; Bacilli; Lactobacillales; Enterococcaceae.